RNAcentral lists this transfer RNA (84 nucleotides) under Rubinisphaera sp. RNAcentral describes it as "tRNA-Leu". It matches the Rfam family "tRNA". From Rfam's summary of the family: Transfer RNA (tRNA) molecules are approximately 80 nucleotides in length. Their secondary structure includes four short double-helical elements and three loops (D, anti-codon, and T loops). RNAcentral also lists the same sequence under 2 other names. Lineage: Bacteria; Pseudomonadati; Planctomycetota; Planctomycetia; Planctomycetales; Planctomycetaceae. The record is from RNAcentral.
GCGGACGUGGCGGAAUUGGCAGACGCGCACGGUUCAGGUCCGUGUUCCUUAACGGGAGUGGAGGUUCGACUCCUCUCGUCCGCA